UGGGGAAUUUUGGACAAUGGGCGAAAGCCUGAUCCAGCAAUGCCGCGUGUGUGAAGAAGGCCUUCGGGUUGUAAAGCACUUUUGUCCGGAAAGAAAUCCUUGGCUCUAAUACAGUCGGGGGAUGACGGUACCGGAAGAAUAAGCACCGGCUAACUACGUGCCAGCAGCCGCGGUAAUACGUAGGGUGCAAGCGUUAAUCGGAAUUACUGGGCGUAAAGCGUGCGCAGGCGGUUUGCUAAGACCGAUGUGAAAUCCCCGGGCUCAACCUGGGAACUGCAUUGGUGACUGGCAGGCUAGAGUAUGGCAGAGGGGGGUAGAAUUCCACGUGUAGCAGUGAAAUGCGUAGAGAUGUGGAGGAAUACCGAUGGCGAAGGCAGCCCCCUGGGCCAAAUACUGACGCUCAUGCACGAAAGCGUGGGGAGCAAACAGGAUUAGAUACCCUGGUAGUCCACGCCCUAAACGAUGUCAACUAGUUGUUGGGGAUUCAUUUCCUAGUAACGUAGCUAACGCGUGAAGUUGACCGCCUGGGGAGUACGGUCGCAAGAUUAAAACUCAAUGAAUUGACGGGGUCAUAGCUGUUCC
RNAcentral lists this ribosomal RNA (582 nucleotides) under uncultured bacterium. Its description in RNAcentral is "partial 16S ribosomal RNA". It matches the Rfam family "Bacterial small subunit ribosomal RNA", at positions 355 to 936 of the family's 1533-position model. The record is from RNAcentral.